GCCGGAUACUGUACUGCCCACUAAUUCCACUUUUGGACUAUCACUCCUGCAUUUGGAUCAAGAAGAAGAGAUAUUUUAUCGGAGUUUUUGCGUGGGUUACAGUAAAUUGAUAGUUAACUUGCAAUUAAUAGUGAGAGAGUGAAAUAUUCUUCCUUUGUAGAACCAGAGUAAUGGCAAUGUGUCAGAGAGAGCAAUCUCCAGUCCAAAGAACGAAGACCACCCAGUCUGUCCGAAACGUCUUUGGAGUAGGCAAGUGUCAAGAGUUGUGAUACUUCACACACAGGAACUAUUUUUAAAUCAAACAGAAGAUCAAAUCAGACUGCUUAUCUAUUAUUAGUAAAUCUACAAGAAUCAAAAGAGUUUCUUGGCUGACAAGGCAAAGAGCAUCUGACUGCAUACUCUGUUUUGCACACGUUUCCCAGCAAACUGUGAGAACCACUCUAGGAAAUGUAUUCUGGAAAUAUAUACCAGCAGGUCUUCACAAUAUUUACUGUCUUAAUAAAACAACACCUUUAUUGAAGUGACUGCUUCCAUUUGAAGUUUCACGUUUCUUCAUUAUUCAAGUAAUUCAAAGUCUACUCCAUUAUGUGAGCUUUCUCCCCUCUUCCAAUAAGACACCCUUACAAGUUAAAGCUUACCAGGCAAAACAGCUAUAUGAGACAAACCCACUCAUUUGAAUUAGCUGAUAAAGAAACUCAGAGGGAAACUGUUAGCACUGUUAUCAUCAACAGGCAUCAUCACCACCUUAAAAACCACCUUUCCUUCUAAGUUUUAAUCUAACUGCU
Apus apus (common swift) is the source of this 785-nucleotide long non-coding RNA. RefSeq lists it as uncharacterized. NCBI's taxonomy places the organism in Eukaryota, Metazoa, Chordata, Aves, Apodiformes, Apodidae. The record is from RefSeq and is a predicted model, not a curated record. The transcript has 4 exons.